CGCUGGCGGCGCGUUUAAGCAUGCAAGUCGAGCGGCAAGGGCCUUCGGGCCCCUAGAGCGGCGGACGGGUGAGUAACACGUGGACAAUCUGCCCCCCGGCCCGGGAUAGCCCCAGGGAAACCUGGAUUAAUACCGGAUGAGACGGGACCCGCGAUGGCGGGACCCGGGAAAGGCGCUGCGGCGCCGCCGGGGGAUGAGUCUGCGUCCCAUUAGCUAGACGGCGGGGUAACGGCCCACCGUGGCGACGAUGGGUAGCCGGCCUGAGAGGGUGGACGGCCACAUUGGAACUGAGACACGGUCCAGACUCCUACGGGAGGCAGCAGCUAAGAAUCUUCCGCAAUGGGCGAAAGCCUGACGGAGCGACGCCCGCGUGAACGAAGAAGGCCGUGAGGUUGUAAAGUUCUUUUCGGGAGGGGGAACAACCGUGGCAGGGAAUGGCCGCGGGAUGACGUGAAUCCCGGAAUAAGCCCCGGCUAACUACGUGCCAGCCGCUGC
RNAcentral lists this ribosomal RNA (495 nucleotides) under uncultured bacterium. RNAcentral describes it as "bacterial SSU rRNA". It matches the Rfam family "Bacterial small subunit ribosomal RNA", at positions 34 to 518 of the family's 1533-position model. The record is from RNAcentral.